This 433-nucleotide ribosomal RNA is filed under the name uncultured bacterium. RNAcentral's name for it is "partial 16S ribosomal RNA". It matches the Rfam family "Bacterial small subunit ribosomal RNA", at positions 29 to 507 of the family's 1533-position model. The record is from RNAcentral.
AGCGAACGCUGGCGGCAGGCUUAACACAUGCAAGUCGAGCGGGCACUUCGGUGUCAGCGGCAGACGGGUGAGUAACACGUGGGAACGUACCCUUUGGUUCGGAAUAACGCUGGGAAACUAGCGCUAAUACCGGAUACGCCCUUUGGGGGAAAGGCUUGCUGCCGAAGGAGCGGCCCGCGUCUGAUUAGCUAGUUGGUGGGGUGAUGGCUUACCAAGGCGACGAUCAGUAGCUGGUUUGAGAGGAUGAUCAGCCACACUGGGACUGAGACACGGCCCAGACUCCUACGGGAGGCAGCAGUGGGGAAUAUUGGACAAUGGGCGCAAGCCUGAUCCAGCCAUGCCGCGUGAGUGAUGAAGGCCUUAGGGUUGUAAAGCUCUUUUGUCCGGGACGAUAAUGACGGUACCGGAAGAAUAAGCCCCGGCUAACUUCGUG